RNAcentral lists this ribosomal RNA (954 nucleotides) under Providencia sp. SDS. Its description in RNAcentral is "bacterial SSU rRNA". It matches the Rfam family "Bacterial small subunit ribosomal RNA", at positions 39 to 1021 of the family's 1533-position model. Lineage: Bacteria; Pseudomonadati; Pseudomonadota; Gammaproteobacteria; Enterobacterales; Morganellaceae. The record is from RNAcentral.
GGGGCAGGUCACAAUGCAGUCGAGCGGUAACAGGGGAACUUGCUUCUCGCUGACGAGCGGCGGACGGGUGAGUAAUGUAUGGGGAUCUGCCCGAUAGAGGGGGAUAACUACUGGAAACGGUAGCUAAUACCGCAUAAUCUCUCAGGAGCAAAGCAGGGGAACUUCGGUCCUUGCGCUAUCGGAUGAACCCAUAUGGGAUUAGCUAGUAGGUGGGGUAAUGGCUCACCUAGGCGACGAUCCCUAGCUGGUCUGAGAGGAUGAUCAGCCACACUGGGACUGAGACACGGCCCAGACUCCUACGGGAGGCAGCAGUGGGGAAUAUUGCACAAUGGGCGCAAGCCUGAUGCAGCCAUGCCGCGUGUAUAAAGAAGGCCCUAGGGUUGUAAAGUACUUUCAGUCGGGAGGAAGGCGUUGAUGCUAAUAUCAUCAACGAUUGAGGUUACCCACAGAAGAAGCACCGGCUAACUCCGUGCCAGCAGCCGCGGUAAUACGGAGGGUGCAAGCGUUAAUCGCAAUUACUGGGCGUAAAGCGCACGCGGGCGGUUGAUAAAGUUAGAUGUGAAAUCCCCGGGCUUAACCUGGGAGUGGCAUCUAAGACUGUGCAGCUAGAGUCUUUGUAGAGGGGGGUAGAAAUUCUAUGUGUAGCGCUGAAAUGCGUAGAGAUGUGGAGAAAUACCGGUGGCGAAGGCGGCCCCCUGUACAAAGACUGACGCUCAGAUGCGAAAGCGUGGGGAGCAACAGGAUAGAUCGCUGGUCCACAACACUAACCUGUGUCUUUGAAGGUGUGUCUGACAGUGGUUCUGAGCUACGCGUUUAAUCCACCGCCUGGGAGUACGCCGCAGGUAAAACUCCAAUAAAUGCGGGGCCGCACACCGUGAGCAUAUGUUAUUCGAUCACCGAGACCUACUAUCUGGAGUCGGGAAUCUUUUGAGAUCUAGAGGCUUCGGAACCUAA